Molecule: ribosomal RNA, 598 nt
Filed under: Eulimnogammarus verrucosus
Lineage: Eukaryota; Metazoa; Arthropoda; Malacostraca; Amphipoda; Eulimnogammaridae
Description: SSU rRNA
Rfam family: Eukaryotic small subunit ribosomal RNA
Source: RNAcentral
AGUCAUAUGCUUGUCUCAAAGAUUAAGCCAUGCAUGUCUAAGUCCAAGCUGUGUUCACACGGCGAGACCGCGGACGGCUCAUUAAAUCAGUCGUGGUCCAAAUGGGCCAGUGCAAAUCCUACUUGGAUAACUGUGGUAAUUCCAGAGCUAAUACAUGCAACUGAUAUCCCGAAGGCGGUGUUGGGGCUUGCUUGCCUUGCGCUGCGCUGCUCUGACGGAUGCUUUUAUUAGACCAAGCCGCUGAGGACUUGAGGGUUCGCGCUCUCUUGUUUGACUCGUGUGAUGGUGACUCUGGAUAACCAAAUUCUGACAAGCGCACGUACUUCUCUUCUGAGCGAGACGGCGCUGCCACUUUCGAGUGUCUGCCUUAUCAGCUAUCAACCGUUCGUUAUGCGCGACCGAUGGCUUUGACGGGUAACGGGGAAUCAGGGUUCGAUUCCGGAGAGGCAGCCUGAGAGACGGCUACCACGUCCAAGGACGGCAGCAGGCACGCAAAUUACCCAAUCCCAGCAAAUGGGGGAGGUAGUGACGAAAUCUAACGAUGCGGGCGCCCUUUCUGGGGCCCCGCAAUCGGAAUGGGCACUUUCUAAACAACCUG